This 312-nucleotide unclassified non-coding RNA is filed under the name uncultured Fusarium. Its description in RNAcentral is "partial contains 5.8S ribosomal RNA, internal transcribed spacer 2, and large subunit ribosomal RNA". The stretch from base 1 to 105 matches the Rfam family "5.8S ribosomal RNA", at positions 50 to 154 of the family's 154-position model. The record is from RNAcentral. Lineage: Eukaryota; Fungi; Ascomycota; Sordariomycetes; Hypocreales; Nectriaceae.
GAAAUGCGAUAAGUAAUGUGAAUUGCAGAAUUCAGUGAAUCAUCGAAUCUUUGAACGCACAUUGCGCCCGCCAGUACUCUGGCGGGCAUGCCUGUUCGAGCGUCAUUACAUCCCUCAAGCCCCAGCGGCUUGGUGUUGGGCUUCGGCCGUCCUCAGCGGCGGCCGUGCCCCAAAUACAGUGGCGGUCUCGCCCCCGGCUCCUCUGCGUAGUAGUAACAUCUCGCACUGGGACGGAGCGAAGGCCACGCCGUAAAACAACCCAACUUUCUGAAUGUUGACCUCGGAUCAGGUAGGAAUACCCGCUGAACUUAA